AUAUUAUUAGUAUAAUUGAGUAUGUAAGUCUUCCAAACUUAAGGACCAACAGUAUUUGGAUAAUAUA
RNAcentral lists this transfer RNA (67 nucleotides) under Cultellus attenuatus. RNAcentral describes it as "tRNA-Gly". The record is from RNAcentral. Lineage: Eukaryota; Metazoa; Mollusca; Bivalvia; Adapedonta; Cultellidae.